AUGUGACUGUGGAACCCUUUUCUCCAGGAAGGAUAGCUUCAUAACUCACAGGGCAUUCUGUGACGCGUUAGCAGAAGAAAGUGCAAGACUCUCAGCUCACCAAUUAGUUACCACAAAUCCAACUGCCCAAACUCUUCUUCUGCAAAACCCACAAUCCCACAAUUCUCUCUUCCCUUUCACUACCCACCAUCAUCAUCAGCUCUCCCUCAACCCCUGGGACCCACCACCUCAUAACCCUAGCAACCCUACUCAAAACCCAGUUCAAAUCAAGCCUGAAACUCAACAUUUCCAGCUUGCACCAGUCUUCCGAGAACCGCCACCAUCGUUGCCAACCCACCAGGGUUUGAUAACCUCACCGUUCCAAAGCCUAUCAAACCCUGCCGUGUCGGCAUCAUCGAACCACCUGUCAGCCACUGCACUUCUCCAAAAGGCUGCAACUGUGGGUGCAACUCAGACAGUGGGUCCCAGUUACACGACCCAAUUGGACAUGGGCGAUUCGAGGGCGGUGAGUCAGGCCGGGGGUGACUCAGUGGGUCAAAUCCCUCGUCAGGGAUCUUACCUGGACCAUCUGGCCGCGUGGCAGAAGAAUGACCGUUUGACAAGAGACUUUCUGGGUCUGACCGGUGACGGCCACGCUGCCAAUGGCAAUGGAAACGUGGCGAAUGGGAAUGGUGGUGUUAACGUUGUCAUCAAUGUGAGGGAAAUGCUAACGUACACAGGAGGAGUAGGAUUGCAGCAAUACAGUGAGAGAGACCACACACUGUUGAAACCCCAUGGUUUUGGAUGCCCCCGACAACCUCCCCCCUCCUCGGAAGCGUGGGGUGACUGCUAAGUGCAGAAAUGGUAGAACAGUAAUUAAGUUUUUGCUUGCCAAUGUGUAAAAUGACAGAAAUACCCUCAGUUUCCUUGCCUUUCAAAAUAUGACAAGAAGAGUUGAAGAACGAUCGAUAUUCUUGUCAUGUGACCCUCAUCUUUUAUUUUAUGCUUCAUAUAAUUACAUCGUUUGUUUCAGACAUUUCUAAAUGCUUUAAUGCUUUUAGUUUCUUAUAUAAUAAUGGAUUUAAGUCCAUUUCUG
RNAcentral lists this unclassified non-coding RNA (1075 nucleotides) under Hevea brasiliensis (rubber tree). The record is from RNAcentral. Lineage: Eukaryota; Viridiplantae; Streptophyta; Magnoliopsida; Malpighiales; Euphorbiaceae.